AACGAACGCUGGCGGCAUGCCUAACACAUGCAAGUCGAACGAGACCUUCGGGUCUAGUGGCGCACGGGUUCGUAACGCGUGGGAACCUGCCCUUAGGUUCGGAAUAACUCCCCGAAAGGGGUGCUAAUACCGGAUAAUGUCUUCGGACCAAAGAUUUAUCGCCUUUGGAUGGGCCCGCGUUGGAUUAGCUAGUUGGUAGGGUAAAAGCCUACCAAGGCGACGAUCCAUAGCUGGUCUGAGAGGAUGAUCAGCCACACUGGGACUGAGACACGGCCCAGACUCCUACGGGAGGCAGCAGUGGGGAAUAUUGGACAAUGGGCGAAAGGCUGAUCCAGCAAUGCCGCGUGAGUGAUGAAGGCCUUAGGGUUGUAAAGCUCUUUUAACCGGGAUGAUAAUGACAGUACCGGGAGAAUAAGCCACGGCUAACUCCGUG
Molecule: ribosomal RNA, 433 nt
Filed under: uncultured bacterium
Lineage: Bacteria
Description: partial 16S ribosomal RNA
Rfam family: Bacterial small subunit ribosomal RNA
Source: RNAcentral